GACAGAGGGUGCAAACGUUGUUCGGAAUUACUGGGCGUAAAGCGUGCGUAGACGGUUAUUUAAGUCGGGUGUGAAAGCCCCGGGCUCAACCUGGGAAUUGCAUUCGAGACUGAAUAGCUAGGGUACGGUAGAGGGAAGCGGAAUUUCCGGUGUAGCGGUGAAAUGCGUAGAUAUCGGAAGGAACAUCAGUGGCGAAAGCGGCUUCCUGGACCAGUACCGACGUUCAGGCACGAAAGCGUGGGGAGCAAACAGG
Molecule: ribosomal RNA, 253 nt
Filed under: uncultured bacterium
Lineage: Bacteria
Description: partial 16S ribosomal RNA
Rfam family: Bacterial small subunit ribosomal RNA
Source: RNAcentral